RNAcentral lists this transfer RNA (70 nucleotides) under Dipodomys ordii (Ord's kangaroo rat). It matches the Rfam family "tRNA". From Rfam's summary of the family: Transfer RNA (tRNA) molecules are approximately 80 nucleotides in length. Lineage: Eukaryota; Metazoa; Chordata; Mammalia; Rodentia; Heteromyidae. The record is from Rfam by way of RNAcentral.
GGGAAUGUGGCUCAAUGGUAGAGUGCUUGCCUAGCAUGCAUGAAGCCUUGGGUUUGAUUCCUCAGUAUCA